CGCACGCUCAGUAGACAAUCUUUCCUCAUUUCGUUAACACACUCACUCAGCACCUUUAAGCGAACCAAUAAUAUACAGAAGAAUUUCCCCAAAGUAACAAACAGCAACAGUAGCUAAAUGAAAUACCCAAAAUACCCUAAAACAAAUAGAUAAAUAAAUACGCAUAAAUUAUUUUCCAUUAUAUAAAAAAAGAGCUUGAAUAGAUCUGUGUGUUGUUCGCCGAUUAAAAUAUUAACCAACUAUAUAUUUAAUCAAAUCACUUUCAAUUAAACCGAAUGUCGACGUGCGUGUCUAGUGCAAAAAGCCAAAUCCCUCGUCUUUUUGUUGUGGCUGUCGUCGCCUGAAACUUUAAACGAAAGAAAAGUUUGGCGGCAAUGAAAACCCCUGGCUUUGAUAACAAACUGCGCGUAUAAGCUGCAAAGGAAAUGAGCACACAGGGAAAAGCCAUUGUGAAACUGUGAAAGUGUAAUCAAAUAAAUUCCCUCGCAGAAUAAUCCGAGUAGCAGAAUAAAGGUCAAUCGUAGAAAAUGUGCAUAAAAACCUGCAAAGACAUCAAAUUCGGUGACAAUAGCGACGGAGGCCAUGAAGGUGGACAGAAUAUAGUCAUCCGCACAUCCAAAUUGGGCUACGAGCACUUCCAACUUCAACUGCAGCUGCAGGCCAAGCAAAACAAACAAAAGCACAAAGGCUUUAAGUUGCCCAACUUUAAGAUUCUCAUGUGUUGUUGCUACUUCAUCAUCAUCGUGUUGAUGAUAUGAGAACGGAAUGAAACUCAAUCUCCAACCAAAAAUGCUCCAAUUAUAUAGUUAAAUGCCAACAUAUUGAAACCACAGAGGCGAACCAGAAAUAUUGUUCAACUUAACUCAUGACAAAGAUCUCAUUCGAAUGCUGUCUAAAGUAUAAACCAUCAGUUAUUUCAA
RNAcentral lists this unclassified non-coding RNA (920 nucleotides) under Drosophila yakuba. RNAcentral describes it as "GE18656". The record is from RNAcentral. Lineage: Eukaryota; Metazoa; Arthropoda; Insecta; Diptera; Drosophilidae.